AGAGUUUGAUCAUGGCUCAGGACGAACGCUGGCGGCGUGCUUAACACAUGCAAGUCGAGCGAGACCCACCUUUCGGGGUGGUGUUCUAGCGGCGAACGGGUGAGUAACACGUGGGCAACCUGCCCUCAGCUCUGGGAUAGCUCCAAGAAAUUGGGGCUAAUACCGGAUAUGACCGCUGACCGCAUGGUCUGGUGGUGGAAAGAUUUAUCGGCUGGGGAUGGGCCCGCGGCCUAUCAGCUUGUUGGUGGGGUAGUGGCCUACCAAGGCGACGACGGGUAGCCGGCCUGAGAGGGUGACCGGCCACACUGGGACUGAGACACGGCCCAGACUCCUACGGGAGGCAGCAGUGGGGAAUAUUGCGCAAUGGGCGGAAGCCUGACGCAGCGACGCCGCGUGGGGGAUGACGGCCUUCGGGUUGUAAACCUCUUUCAGCAGGGACGAAGCGAAAGUGACGGUACCUGCAGAAGAAGCACCGGCCAACUACGUGCCAGCAGCCGCGGUAAUAC
Molecule: ribosomal RNA, 506 nt
Filed under: uncultured bacterium
Lineage: Bacteria
Description: bacterial SSU rRNA
Rfam family: Bacterial small subunit ribosomal RNA
Source: RNAcentral